Molecule: ribosomal RNA, 375 nt
Filed under: Triticum aestivum (bread wheat)
Lineage: Eukaryota; Viridiplantae; Streptophyta; Magnoliopsida; Poales; Poaceae
Description: partial small subunit ribosomal RNA
Source: RNAcentral
AUGCCUCAAGUCCAUCCAUGGUUUAUGGCUGGAGACCUGGAGAAGAACAACCAACUUUAUCUAAAAAUGGAAGAGCUAGCACCAAAGAGCCCCAGCCCACCUCGAAGAUCAAGUUCUAUGUGUAAUUCACGGAUAGUGGUUGUCGGCACAUCUUCUAACCAAGUCACCUCCAGUGAUCCUUCUGUUGACAAGCAGCCAGACCCAAGUCUCCAGAAAAAGCAUGGCCGCCGGCACAAAAUGGACGAAGAAGAGGUGAGCUGCCGCGGCAUCGAAGCUCUCGCACCGAUGCUCCCCGUCGAGCUCGCGCGUGCGCCAGAUCUGGUGGCCAACACAGCCCGUCCGUCCGCCGGCACCUCCAAGCAAGGCCUACAAUAG